GUUUGCGGUCGGAGGGAACACGGCGCCCCUUUCUGCAUUAGUGUGCUCUCCUUGACCUCACAUCGCUGACCCUCAACGGCGGCGGUGGGUCCCGAGUCUAUCACUAGGCUGUACUUGGUUGAAACUGGAGAUGCGCCGGCCGAAGAAGAGGGCGCAGGUGAACAACAGGGCUCAGCAGACUUUGGGGUAGGUGUGGACGGGCAUGUGUCAAAAGCGGCAGUGACCCUGCACAACCUGGGCUCGUGAGGCCAGGCGGACGGGUCUCAGAAACCAACGCGGUGCACGGGCACUGCAGGUGUCGCGCCACGGAGCGCAUGCCUGUGCGCACAAGUGGCAGACACCACGAGGAGGAACGCCUUCAGCAGUUUCGAAAGAGAACCAAGCUUUACUGAAGGUCUGAAAUGUUCCAGGAUAUCAAACCACCAAGCCAGUUGUGAUCCACAAGUUGGAAGAAGGAGAAGAACCAUGGAUGAUGGAGAGAGGAACCCCAAGUUGGAGCUACCCAGUACAAAGGAGGAGAGAAAGAAAGAAAUUAUAGGGGAUUGAUGAAGUGACAUCAGAUGAUAACUUAAAACCACAGGAAAAAUUGAAGAGUGCCAGAAAUGAAAUUACUCGAGAAGCAUCCUGACAUCUCCCCAUACACAGAACAUGAUGGAAAAGAGAGUUGGCAAGAUUGGGAAGACCUAAGCAUAUGAACAUUUAUUUAAACAUGAUACGCCUGGAGAAGAUGGUGUGAAGAAUGGAAUGAGAUCUGAUAAGACUCCAAAGGAGGGCUGUUUUAAGGGGCAGAAUUCUGCUGGGUCUUCACCUCUUACAAUCAUCCUUACAAUGAUCCUUGGAAAGAGUCACCAUCCGGUAUUCUAAGAUGGGUCCCUUGUAAGGCCGUUUUGGCCAUGCCAUCUAUACUUGCAUCUCUUCCCACAAAGGCAUCUGAGUCUAGUGGCCAAUGGACUAUUUCUCUUUCUAAAAAAGCAUAUAUGUAUAUUACUCAGGGUACUUUUCUAUGUCCUCUCUCCUCACUGGAACGUGCCUGCCUCAUGGAGCAUGGGAUGGUUUUUGUGAUUCACUUCUCUUUAUGAGGUUGGUCACAGAGAUCUGCAGGUGGGCUGUGUUUACUUUCUUUAAGAAGAUGUCAUUGGCUCGGGAAUAUCAGUCAGCCAUGUCUGAAUCCCAGACACAAGGAGACCCCAGAGAAGAGGGUGAGGCUGCCCCUAACUGCCUAGAUGACUAAGUCACCAAUGUAUUAGAAUCUUGAAAUCACAGCACCAUGGAAACAGAAUCACAGAAUUUUGAAUCUGGAUGGCACCAGAGAGCUCACAUAAUCUAAAACAUUAACAACAACAACAACAAAUCCUGGGGACAAAGGGUCAGAUUUAGGACUUCAGAUCAGCCUGGACAAGAACAAUGGCUACACAGCUCCCAUCAGCCCACAUCUGAGAUGCUUCCAGAACAGCAGCCAGAUCCCGUAUUCUCCUUGGCUUGCUAUUCCUACCAUCUGCCACUUGGGGCUCUCUGCCUUGAGCAGCUUCAAGGAGCAAAAAAGUGACAGUUGAGGUUGCCUCUCAGACAGGCUCAUGUUUCUCAGGUUGACUUCAACAUUAGCUUACUGUGUGUGCGCGUGCACUGCAUUGGGACCUAAGGCAUUUUUACAAUAUACGAUUCAGAGUACUUCCUGACUCAGAUUGGCCUGUCACAAGAAUAGGUACCUAAUUUUUUUUUUUUUUUACUGAUAGAUUCCCUACAAUUAAAGAAACUAAAAUUUUCUAAUGGCAAUAAUACAUGUUCACUGUUAAAAACUCAGACAUAUAACUAUAAAGAAGAACAUGAAAAGCAACUGAAUUUCACCUCCCAACAUAAAUGCUGUCAACAUUAGACAUUUAAAAAUGGGCCAUAGUUUAUAAGUUUAUAACUAGAGUUUUACUUAGCAAUACACCAUAGACAUCUAUCUCAUUAUAUUCAAAUUGCUCAAUAACAUUUCCCCGUGUGGAUGUGCCAUAAUAUAUUUAGCCAAACUCCUAUUUAGAGGCCUGGUUUGUUUUCGAUUUUUCAGUAAUAUAAACAAUGCUGAGAUAAAGCUCUGGUUCCUCGAUUAUUUAUGUUGGCUGGUUUUAAUAUGUGAUAUGAAUUUUAUCCACAAGGGGGAAGCAGGCUACUGUGAGAAGACAAGCUAAGAUUGGGGACGGAAAACAAAAAAAAAACCCGGAAAGUUCUUUGGCAUACAUAAAUUCACUUCAACCUUGAGGCAAAUAUUAAUAUUUUCCUCUUUUUAAGGAUAAGGAAACUCAUGUGGGAAGCGUAAGCCAUGUGUGCAGAUUCUCACCAACCAGUGAGCACCAAGGUGGAAUUCAAAGCAUCCUUUUGAUUCCAUAUAGCUGGCUUUCUUCAUUUCACUACACUCCCAAAGUUGAUAUCAGUAAGAUAUUCUUCCUACAUUCAAUUCAGUUCUAGGUACUGUGCUGGGAUAUUAUUCAGCAAUGAAUAAGAGGAUCCCUGCCCCUCAGGGGGUCAUUAUCAAGUGUGAGGGCAGAUUUAUACAUAAAUAAUUGAAUGACUAAAUGCCCACCAGAAUAGACAGAGCCCAGGAAGGCAGGAAGUCAUUUUGGCAGUGAGGCAGGGCACAGCUUUAUAAAAGAGGCUCAAUAACAAUAAGAGCUAAAAUUAAUUGAGCUUUACUCAGUAAGAGACACUGUGUUAAGUGCUUUAUAUGCAUAACCUAAUUAAAAGGUCCACGUAGACCAGGAAGGUAUUGUAUCCUUUUUACAAAGACAAAAAUUAGUGGUCAGAGAGGUUAAGAAACUGGCUACUUGUGACGUAACACUGCAACCUACAUCCUAAUUUGGCUUACCAUCCCCAGAAGGGAUGAUAGACCUUCAACAGGCAGAGCUUGGAGACUCCUAGAAGAGGAAACACAGAAACAAAAUCUUAGAGACAACAAAUACCAGCACCUUUGGGAAUACAAGGGGCUGGGUGUAUCUGGGGUAUGAAAGAGGAAGGAUCCGAAGAGAUAAAGACUAGAGGAAGAAAACGAGUCAGAUUGGAGAAGUCUGUGAAUAGCAAGCCAAGGAGAUCCUACUUUAUCUUGUAUUGGGGGGAGGGGAGCCCAACCACAGAGAAUAACAUUACCUGUGUUUUAUGAAGGUUAUUUUGGUGCAUUGCAUAAGGGAAUAAGAAGAUUAGUUAGGGGAUUAUUAAAAUAAUCCUGGCCAAAGAUAAGAGAGAAUGAGAACCAAAAGACAUUACUGAGAUAAAAUCCACAAGAUUUGACAUCUCAGAUAUCACGGAGAGAGAGGAGAGAACUAUGGUUAAGAGUUCCAUGUCUGGGCAACUGGGAGAAUGUGAGCAUGUACACCAAGCGGGGGCUGUGAGGAGGGAGGAGAUGAGGUUACUUGUUUUACAUGAGAUUUUCUUACUGAGGGACCUCUGAAUGGAGAUGUUCAGUGGAGAAUUAGAAGUAGUAAGCUGGUGAUUUAGAUACAGAACCUAAGAAUCAGAAGAACUGACGCAGGGAGCUGGCCAGGGAGAAUCUAUACUUGAGAUUCAGCAGAAGAUGAAAUCUGCUGAGAAGAGACUGUUCCAAGACCUGACCACUGUCUGACCCGUGAGCUGGACCUAGUUCAGAAGGGAGAUUGCUCACUGCAAAUCAGUGCCCAUUCUGUCAUAAACCAUCACCCCUGCCUUGCCUCCUGGUAUGUGCUAGUUCCUGGAACAGGCCGUUAUUUUGACCUGGUCAAGCAUAUAAAGUAAUUCCCUGUACCUGGUAGCAUUCACCUGCUAGACCCCAUGAAUGUCGCCAUUUUACUCUAUAUAAUUCUUUGGCACCUACCCAGUGGUGCAGGGAUCCAUUUGUCUUGCAGCUGCCCAAGACGUGCCUCUUACGUAAGCUUCUCUUAAUAAACUCUAUUAACUACCAGA
Pteropus alecto (black flying fox) is the source of this 3912-nucleotide long non-coding RNA. RefSeq lists it as uncharacterized. The record is from RefSeq and is a predicted model, not a curated record. NCBI's taxonomy places the organism in Eukaryota, Metazoa, Chordata, Mammalia, Chiroptera, Pteropodidae. The transcript has 5 exons.